This 611-nucleotide long non-coding RNA is filed under the name Zonotrichia albicollis (white-throated sparrow). Its description in RNAcentral is "lncRNA (ENSZALG00000009551.1)". Lineage: Eukaryota; Metazoa; Chordata; Aves; Passeriformes; Passerellidae. The record is from RNAcentral.
UAAAUACAAUGCACUUCUAAUUUCUUGCAGUCUGGAUGCCUGGGUGGGGAAAAGUUGUGGUGGUGCUGCUGAUGGAGCUGCAGUAGCACGGAUCAGCAGAGGACCCAACCCAUGCAGAGCAGCAGGAACAUCAGUUCCUCCUGUUUCCUUGUGAAAACUGGUGUGAUUCCUCUUGCUGAUGAAGUGGCAAACCCGUCUUCCAGGAUUCCAGCUGGCAUGGUUUGCCUUCACAUGUUUGUGAACACAAAUGAAUUUAGCACCGAGGGACUUGGACACAGACAACGUUUCACCAGCUUAAAGAUUUAGAUGUCCAGUGAAAGCUAAGCUCAGCCUUUGGCCCCUUCCUAGAGAGCGUGGGAUAAACUGCCAGCUGGGUCUCCCUCUGCCCUCUGUAAAUGGAGCCCAGAGGAGCAGCCUGGCUUCAGCUGUUGUCAUCUGCCUUCACACACGCUUUGUGCUGCUCCCCCUGGUUCCAGAUGGCCAGAGGAAGACAGACAGAUAUCACAGUGCAGGCACCAUGGAGCAGCCCCAGCAGCCUGGAGAAGAGACAAUCCAUUUUUCCCUUUCUGGGAUUAUCCUAUUUUAUGUUUCCUGACUAUGCAGGUAGACUG